UGAGAGGAAGCUGCAGCCAGCGGCUGGAAGAGCUGGUGCAAGCGAGAUAUCGGGAUGGCAGGCAAAUCCACCAUCCGAAACGAGAAGGCGUGAAGCGUACGGAAAGCUACGGCGAGUACGGAAGGCAGUGGAGGAACUUCCAAGAAAAGUUUCUAACGUUAAGUAUAUAUGGCCCGUACCGAAAAUGGACACACAUGGGUGAGGAGAGAAUCCUAAGGUGAGCGAGAGAACUAUAGCUAAGGAACUCUGCAAAAUGACUCCGUAACUUAGGGAGAAGGAGUGCUCAUAGAGAUAUGAGCCGCAGUGAAACGGCCCAAGCGACUGUUUACCAAAAACACAGCUCUCUGCUAAGCCGCAAGGCGAAGUAUAGGGGGUGACGCCUGCCCGGUGCUGGAAGGUUAAGGGGAGGGGUUAACGCAAGUGAAGCCCUGAACUGAAGCCCCAGUAAACGGCGGCCGUAACAAUAACGGUCCUAAGGUAAAAAAUUCCUUGUCAGGUAAGUUCUGACCCGCACGAAAGGCGUAACGAUUUGGGCGCUGUCUCAGCUGUAGACUCGGUGAAGUCUUAGUACCUGUGAAGAUGCAGGUUACCCGCGACUAGACGGAAAGACCCCAUGGAGCUUCACUGCAGGUUGAUAUUGGGAUUUGAUGCAGCAUGUACAGGAUAGGUAGGAGGCAAAGAGAUGGAUACGCCAGUAUUCAAGGAGCCGCUGUUGGGAUACUACCCCUGUUGUAUUGGAUUUCUAACCGGACGACAUAGAGCCGUUGACGGGACAGUGUCAGUCGGGCAGUUUGACUGGGGCGGUCGCCUCCCAAAGAGUAACGGAGGCGCCCAAAGAUACCCUCAGCUUGGAUGGAAACCAAGCGCAGAGUGCAAAGGCAAAAGGGUGUUUGACUGCGAGACCCACAAGUCGAGCAGGGACGAAAGUCGGGCUUAGUGAUCCGGCGGUGCUGAAUGGAAAGGCCGUCGCUCAACGGAUAAAAGCUACCCUGGGGAUAACAGGCUGAUCUCCCCCAAGAGUUCACAUCGACGGGGAGGUUUGGCACCUCGAUGUCGGCUCAUCGCAUCCUGGAGCUGAAGCCGGUUCCAAGGGUUGGGCUGUUCGCCCAUUAAAGCGGUACGCGAGCUGGGUUCAGAACGUCGUGAGACAGUUCGGUCCCUAUCUGUCGUGGGCGCAGGAAAUUUGAGAAGAGCUGUCCUCAGUACGAGAGGACCGGGAUGGACGCAUCAAUGGUGGACCAGUUGUCACGCCAGUGGCAUAGCUGGGUAGCUAAAUGCGGAAGGGAUAAACGCUGAAGGCAUCUAAGUGUGAAACCCACUUCAAGAUGAGAUUUCCCAUUGCGCAAGCAAGUAAGACCCCUUAAAGACGAUAAGGUAGAUAGGUCAGGAGUGUAAGCAUGGUGACAUGUUAAGCGGACUGAUACUAAUAGGUCGAGGGCUUGACU
RNAcentral lists this ribosomal RNA (1445 nucleotides) under metagenome. Its description in RNAcentral is "bacterial LSU rRNA". It matches the Rfam family "Bacterial large subunit ribosomal RNA", at positions 1471 to 2925 of the family's 2925-position model. The record is from RNAcentral.